CAGCAGCCGCGGUAAUACGGAGGGUGCAAGCGUUAAUCGGAAUUACUGGGCGUAAAGCGCACGCAGGCGGUCUGUCAAGUCAGAUGUGAAAUCCCCGGGCUUAACCUGGGAACUGCAUUUGAAACUGGCAGGCUAGAGUCUUGUAGAGGGGGGUAGAAUUCCAGGUGUAGCGGUGAAAUGCGUAGAGAUCUGGAGGAAUACCGGUGGCGAAGGCGGCCCCCUGGACAAAGACUGACGCUCAGGUGCGAAAGCGUGGGGAGCAAACAGGAUUAGAUACCCCUGUAUCCCUGUCUCUUAUACA
This 301-nucleotide ribosomal RNA is filed under the name uncultured bacterium. RNAcentral's name for it is "partial 16S ribosomal RNA". It matches the Rfam family "Bacterial small subunit ribosomal RNA", at positions 509 to 809 of the family's 1533-position model. The record is from RNAcentral.